CGCUGGACCCCGCGCGGCGUCUAUCCUGUGAACUCCCCCAGGGCUGGAAGGCAGCAAGGGUCAACGGGCUCUGUCGGGUGCGCGGGGUCCCCUUUCC
Molecule: signal recognition particle RNA, 97 nt
Filed under: Mycobacteroides chelonae
Lineage: Bacteria; Bacillati; Actinomycetota; Actinomycetes; Mycobacteriales; Mycobacteriaceae
Also listed under: 5 other names
Description: (Mycobacterium chelonae corrig. Bergey et al. 1923 (Approved Lists 1980) emend. Kim et al. 2017) signal recognition particle sRNA small type
Rfam family: Bacterial small signal recognition particle RNA
About the family: The signal recognition particle (SRP) is a universally conserved ribonucleoprotein involved in the co-translational targeting of proteins to membranes. Archaeal SRP consists of a 7S RNA and homologues of the eukaryotic SRP19 and SRP54 proteins.
Source: RNAcentral